AGUUUGAUCCUGGCUCAGAUUGAACGCUGGCGGGAUGCUUUACACAUGCAAGUCGAACGGCAGCACGGACUUCGGUCUGAUGGCGAGUGGCGAACGGGUGAGUAAUGUAUCGGAACGUGCUAGUAGCGGGGGAUAAUUAUGAAAGCGUAGCUAAUACCGCAUACGCCCUUCGGGAAAGCAAUCUUCGGGCCUCGUCUGAUAGAGCGGCCGAUAUCGGAUUAGCUAGCCAGGGGUAACGGCUCACCAAGGCGACGAUCCGUAGCUGGUUUGAGAGGACGACUAGCCACACUGGGACUGAGACACGGCCCAGACUCCUACGGGAGGCAGCAGUGGGGAAUUUUGGACAAUGGGGAAAACCCCGAUCCAGCCAUCCCGCGUGUGCGAUGAAGGCCUUUCUUCACAAAAGCACUUUUGGUAGGAAAGAAACGGCACGGAUAAUACCCCGUGCAACUGACGGUACCUGCAGAAUAAGGCACCGCCAAUACGCCAGCAGCCGCGGUAAUACGUGCAAGCGUUAAUCGGAAUUACUGGGCGUAAAGCGUGCGCAGGCGGUUCUGGAAAAGAAAGAUGUGAAAUCCCAGAGCUUAACUUUGAACCGUAUUUUUAACUACCGAGCUAGGAGUGUGUCAGGAGGGAGGUGGAAUUCCGCGUGUAGUGAAAUGGCGUAGAUAUGCGGAGGAACAAUUACGGCGUAAAGGCAGCCUCCUGGGAUAACACUGACGCUCAUGCACGAAAGCGUGGGGAGCAACAGAUUAGAUAAUUCUGGUAAUCACGCCCUAAACGAUGUCAACUACGUUGGGGCCUUCGCCUUGUAGCAGCUAACGCGGUGAAGUUGACCGCCUGGGAGUACGGUCGCAAGAUUAAAACUCGCAAGGAAUUGACGGGGACUCCGCACAAGCGGUGGAUGAUGUGGAUUAAUUCGAUGUAACGCGAAAACCUUACCUACCCUUGACAUGUCUGGAAUCCCGAAGAGAUUUGGGAGUGCUCGCGCGAGAACCGGAACACAGGUGCUGCAUGGCUGUCGUCAGCCUGUGUCGAGAUGUUGGGCUAAGUCCCGCAACGAGCAACCCUUGUCAUUAUUGCUACGAAAGGGCACUCUAAUGAGACUGCCGGUGACAAACCGGAGGAAGGUGGGGAUGACGUCAAGUCCUUUAUGGCCCUGGCGCGGGUAGGGAUUCGAUCAAGCCAUACAAUGGUCGGGACAGAGGGUCGCCAACCCGCGAGGGGGAGCCAAUCCCAGAAACCCGACGGGUCCGGACCGCAGUCUGCAACUCGACUGCGUGAAGUCGGAAUCGCUAGUAAUCGCGGGAUCAGCAUGUCGCGGUGAAUACGUUCCCGGGUCUUGUACACACCGCCCGUCACACCAUGGGAGUGGGUUUUACCAGAAGUAGCAGCCUAAUAACCGUGGCGGAGGAAGAUUACCACGGUAGGAUUCAUGACUGGGGUGAAGUCGUAACAAGGUAA
RNAcentral lists this ribosomal RNA (1464 nucleotides) under uncultured Bordetella sp. RNAcentral's name for it is "partial 16S-23S ribosomal RNA intergenic spacer". It matches the Rfam family "Bacterial small subunit ribosomal RNA". Lineage: Bacteria; Pseudomonadati; Pseudomonadota; Betaproteobacteria; Burkholderiales; Alcaligenaceae. The record is from RNAcentral.